This 253-nucleotide ribosomal RNA is filed under the name uncultured bacterium. Its description in RNAcentral is "partial 16S ribosomal RNA". It matches the Rfam family "Bacterial small subunit ribosomal RNA", at positions 524 to 776 of the family's 1533-position model. The record is from RNAcentral.
UACGUAGGGCGCAAGCGUUAUCCGGAAUUAUUGGGCGUAAAGGGCUCGUAGGCGGUUUGUCGCGUCGGGAGUGAAAUCCACUGGCUUAACUGGUGGCUUGCUUUCGAUACGGGCAGACUGGAGGUAUGCAGGGGAGAACGGAAUUCCUGGUGUAGCGGUGAAAUGCGCAGAUAUCAGGAGGAACACCGAUGGCGAAGGCAGGUCUCUGGGCAUUAACUGACGCUGAGGAGCGAAAGCAUGGGGAGCGAACAGG